Molecule: microRNA precursor, 61 nt
Filed under: Octopus bimaculoides (California two-spot octopus)
Lineage: Eukaryota; Metazoa; Mollusca; Cephalopoda; Octopoda; Octopodidae
Description: Obi-Mir-12532-v1_pre stem-loop
Source: RNAcentral
UAUACGAACAAGUGGCUGUCGGUUGAAUUUUACACACAUCCGCGAUCACUUGUUGUAUGAA